GGAGAGGUGCCGGAGCUCGGUUUAACGGAACGGUUUCGAAAACCGUGGCCCUUUAUGGGUCUCGUGGGUUCAAAUCCCACCCUCUCCG
This 88-nucleotide transfer RNA is filed under the name Candidatus Doudnabacteria bacterium RIFCSPHIGHO2_01_FULL_43_23. RNAcentral's name for it is "tRNA-Ser". It matches the Rfam family "tRNA". Rfam says of the family: Transfer RNA (tRNA) molecules are approximately 80 nucleotides in length. Lineage: Bacteria; Candidatus Doudnaibacteriota. The record is from RNAcentral.